CAACCUACCUUUUAGUUUGGGAUAGCCCUGCGAAAGCAGGAUUAAUACCGAAUGUGGACACAACACGACAUCGUGAUGUGUGUAAAGCAGUAAUGCGCUAAUAGAUGGGCUCGCGGCCUAUUAGCUUGUUGGUGGGGUAACGGCCUACCAAGGCGGUGAUGGGUAGCUGGUCUGAGAGGACGAUCAGCCACACUGGGACUGCGACACGGCCCAG
This 214-nucleotide ribosomal RNA is filed under the name uncultured bacterium. RNAcentral describes it as "partial 16S ribosomal RNA". It matches the Rfam family "Bacterial small subunit ribosomal RNA", at positions 122 to 334 of the family's 1533-position model. The record is from RNAcentral.